GCUGGCAUAAUGAUGAUGCCUUUUGCCGUUUACCCAACUGAGUUUUUUGAUGAGUAACUUGUAUCUGAGGUGCCAGC
Rhea pennata is the source of this 77-nucleotide small nucleolar RNA. RefSeq annotates it as small nucleolar RNA SNORD87. The transcript has a single exon. The record is from RefSeq and is a predicted model, not a curated record. Lineage: Eukaryota; Metazoa; Chordata; Aves; Rheiformes; Rheidae.